RNAcentral lists this ribosomal RNA (300 nucleotides) under uncultured Desulfitobacterium sp. RNAcentral describes it as "partial 16S ribosomal RNA". The stretch from base 52 to 300 matches the Rfam family "Bacterial small subunit ribosomal RNA", at positions 547 to 795 of the family's 1533-position model. Lineage: Bacteria; Bacillati; Bacillota; Clostridia; Eubacteriales; Desulfitobacteriaceae. The record is from RNAcentral.
GCUAUGUCGGUGCUGGAGGCGGGGGUAGUGGGUGGGGGGCAAGCGUUGCCCGGAUUUAUUGGGCGUAAAGGGCGCGGAGGCGGUUUGGCAAGUCCGCUGUGAAAGCCCUGGGCUCAACCUAGGGAUGGCGGUGGGAACUGCGUGGCUAGAGUCCGGAAGAGGGGUGUGGAAUUCCUGGUGUAGCGGUGAAAUGCGCAGAGAUCAGGAAGAACACCGAUGGCGAAGGCAGCACUCUGGGACGGUACUGACGCUGAGGCGCGAAAGCGUGGGGAGCGAACAGGAUUAGAUACCCUGGUAGUC